This 755-nucleotide ribosomal RNA is filed under the name uncultured bacterium. RNAcentral describes it as "bacterial SSU rRNA". It matches the Rfam family "Bacterial small subunit ribosomal RNA", at positions 8 to 796 of the family's 1533-position model. The record is from RNAcentral.
AGAGUUUGAUCAUGGCUCAGAAUCAACGCUGGCGGCGUGCCUAACACAUGCAAGUCGAACGAGAAAGGGUAGCAAUACCUGAGUAAAGUGGCGCACGGGUGAGUAACACGUGACUAACCUACCCUGGAGUGGGGGAUAACUGAGGGAAACCUUAGCUAAUACCGCAUAACACCUACGGGUCAAAGGAGCAAUUCGCUUCAGGAGGGGGUCGCGGCCGAUUAGUUAGUUGGCGGGGUAAUGGCCCACCAAGACUGUGAUCGGUAUCCGGCCUGAGAGGGCGCACGGACACACUGGAACUGAAACACGGUCCAGACUCCUACGGGAGGCAGCAGUGGGGAAUUUUGCGCAAUGGGGGAAACCCUGACGCAGCAACGCCGCGUGGAGGAUGAAGUACUUCGGUACGUAAACUCCUUUCGAUCGGGACGAUUAUGACGGUACCGGAAGAAGAAGCCCCGGCUAACUUCGUGCCAGCAGCCGCGGUAAUACGAGGGGGGCAAGCGUUGUUCGGAAUUAUUGGGCGUAAAGGGUGCGUAGGCGGUUUUGUAAGUCUUGUGUGAAAUCUUCAGGCUCAACUUGAAGACUGCACGANNNNUGCAGGGCUUGAGUGUGGGAGAGGUGAGUGGAAUUCCUGGUGUAGCGGUGAAAUGCGUAGAUAUCAGGAGGAACACCUGUGGCGAAAGCGGCUCACUGGACCACAACUGACGCUGAUGCACGAAAGCUAGGGGAGCAAACAGGAUUAGAUACCCUCGUAGUCC